Cyprinus carpio carpio is the source of this 564-nucleotide long non-coding RNA. NCBI's taxonomy places the organism in Eukaryota, Metazoa, Chordata, Actinopteri, Cypriniformes, Cyprinidae. The record is from Ensembl.
GUCGUUUUUGACAUUUUCAGGGGUUGUACUUUAACGAACUCCUCCUAGAGAUUUAUUCAGAUCAACACCAAACUUUGUCAGUGUAAUCUAAAGGCCUUUGCGAUGUUAAAUUGCGAAGAUCUUGAGGUUUCGUUUAAGGGCCGUGUCCAUGGCGGCCUGACAAAUUUCGAUGUUUCGCCAUGAAAAAGGAAAAUGCUCUAACUCAGACAUACAAUGUCCAAUCUGCCCCAAACUUCACAUGUUAGAUAUGACUUCUGACCUGAAAAGAUCUACGUGCCCAUAUUCAGUUAUAGUCAUAGCGCCACCUGCUGGCAACAGGAAGUGUCAUGUUUUACGCUGUAACAAACUACUCCUAGAAAUUUUAUGACAUCAAUAUUUUUUUCUGGUCAGUCUAGUCUAAAGGCCUUUGCAAUAGUGAAUUGUGGAGAUCUUGAGUUUUUGUUAAAGGGCGUGUCCAUGGCGCUGUGACACAAUUUUAUGUCUCGCCAAAGGAAGAGAAGUUGGUGUAACUCAGGCAUAAAAUGUUUGAUCUUCCCCAAACUUCACAUGUUCGAUAAGAGUCCU